RNAcentral lists this ribosomal RNA (605 nucleotides) under Salmonella enterica subsp. enterica serovar Newport. RNAcentral describes it as "partial 23S ribosomal RNA". It matches the Rfam family "Bacterial large subunit ribosomal RNA", at positions 583 to 1190 of the family's 2925-position model. Lineage: Bacteria; Pseudomonadati; Pseudomonadota; Gammaproteobacteria; Enterobacterales; Enterobacteriaceae. The record is from RNAcentral.
CUUUGGGGUGUGACUGCGUACCUUUUGUAUAAUGGGUCAGCGACUUAUAUUUUGUAGCAAGGUUAACCGUAUAGGGGAGCCGUAGGGAAACCGAGUCUUAACCGGGCGUUAAGUUGCAGGGUAUAGACCCGAAACCCGGUGAUCUAGCCAUGGGCAGGUUGAAGGUUGGGUAACACUAACUGGAGGACCGAACCGACUAAUGUUGAAAAAUUAGCGGAUGACCUGUGGCUGGGGGUGAAAGGCCAAUCAAACCGGGAGAUAGCUGGUUCUCCCCGAAAGCUAUUUAGGUAGCGCCUCGUGAACUCAUCUCCGGGGGUAGAGCACUGUUUCGGCUAGGGGGCCAUCCCGGCUUACCAACCCGAUGCAAACUGCGAAUACCGGAGAAUGUUAUCACGGGAGACACACGGCGGGUGCUAACGUCCGUCGUGAAGAGGGAAACAACCCAGACCGCCAGCUAAGGUCCCAAAGUCAUGGUUAAGUGGGAAACGAUGUGGGAAGGCCCAGACAGCCAGGAUGUUGGCUUAGAAGCAGCCAUCAUUUAAAGAAAGCGUAAUAGCUCACUGGUCGAGUCGGCCUGCGCGGAAGAUGUAACGGGGCUAAACCAU